UGAAACUUUCGGCUAGUUCAUGGUGUAUC
This 29-nucleotide non-coding RNA is filed under the name Mus musculus (house mouse). Lineage: Eukaryota; Metazoa; Chordata; Mammalia; Rodentia; Muridae. The record is from RNAcentral.